Molecule: long non-coding RNA, 355 nt
Filed under: Mytilus galloprovincialis (Mediterranean mussel)
Lineage: Eukaryota; Metazoa; Mollusca; Bivalvia; Mytilida; Mytilidae
Source: RNAcentral
UUUAAAAAGUCUACAUCACGUUAAAACAAUUGUUUUUCAUAAUUAAAAUGUUCAAGUGCAAAUGUUGAUGAAGUCAAACAUAAAUGAGGGGGCAGAUCCAGGUUAGGGAGGGCUGAAAUCUUAUAAUUUUUACCCUUAAAAGAAUAUUUUACCAAUUUGAAGGUGGCCCACACCCACUACAGCCCUGAAUAUGCCGCUGUAAAAGCUGAUGAAAAAAGAUAAUUUUCAUUGAAGAACAAGUUGUUCUAACUUUCAAGGUAUGUCUUAAUAUUGCAAAUAAAUUGCAAUUUCUAAACUGAUUGUAGCCACUAACAUGCUUAAUAAAUAAUUUAUCAACAAAGAUCAAAACUGAGAG